Astatotilapia calliptera (eastern happy) is the source of this 1596-nucleotide long non-coding RNA. NCBI's taxonomy places the organism in Eukaryota, Metazoa, Chordata, Actinopteri, Cichliformes, Cichlidae. The record is from Ensembl.
UGUCAAAGUCAGCGAGUGCGUGGGAGGAAACGUUCAACAUGAGCUGCCCUGGCAGCCUGCAGUGAAGGGAAAAGAAAGUGAGAAAGAAAAAAGAGAAAAAAUAGUGGGGUCUAUACCACACUGUUUGCUGUGUGCGCCCUAUUUGAAGGUAUACCGUAAGCUGAAUCUAUAAAGGAUUUGAAGAUAAGGUUGUAUUCGAGUCACUGUGCAUCAGCACAAACCUUUCAACAAGCUUCUGUCUACAAGCUCUCUGCGUGGAAUAAUGCUGAGUCUGCUUUCAACACCUACACCGUGACAAUAAGGAUCCGAGAGCGUCACCGUCUGCAAGCGCUGACCCAACUUCCUCUGUGUGCACUCAACAGAAAUGAUAAGGCUUCCACUUCCCCCUCCACCCUGACUCGGGCAAACAGCUGCCCUGCAGCCCCAGACUGGGCCCUCCGUGUCAGCAUCGGGCCUGACUGCACGUUGCUCUGUGUGGACUUGAUGGAGCACGCAGAUAAGGCGCACUGUUGUGGCUGGGUUUCCUUUAAAGCAGUAUGCGAUCAUUGGUAGAUAGGUUCUAGCAAGUAACCCCUAUGUUUGGAUCCCUUUGUGUCUGCUUGUGUGUGCAUGUAUGGACUGAGUAUCAUGGAAAAGUACUCAUAUCCUCCAUUUAAACAAAGCAAUAUAGCGGUCCAAAAAUACGUCAUUAUGUGCACGUGCAAAUCUGUUUCUUUAUCUUUAUUUUUUUAUAUAAUUAUCAGCAAAAUCUCUUUUAAGCAUCAAAAGUGAAAACACUCAUUCAGUAGAAAAUGAUGACCAAACAUGAUUGAUGGUGUUUUUAUUUGUGUGUGAUUUUUAUGUCUAAGAUCCUUGUUUAUUCUUGUAAAUGAGCUCUAGCCUGCACGAUUUCCAAAGCGGUCAUAUAUCAAGUACAGAAAUGACCUCGUGACUUUGCACUGCUGUACCUACUCCAACCAGUCCUUUAUGGACACUUAAAAUAUCUUUAUGAAACUGUUGUUACAUUUGUUGCAAUCUUUGCUGCCCUCUUGGCCUGAUCUCCAAAAAAGAAAAUUAUAAUGAGACUUUUUACCGGGGUAAAUAAAGAAUAUAUAAAAGUCAUUUUUAUAUAUAACACCGAUUUCAGCUUGUACCUCGUGACAAAAAUGUUCUUUCAAUUUCAAAAUGAUUUGACAUCAGAUAUGAUUGACAGGUAAACAGGUUCUUCCUUUAUCCCAAGUGCCACUACUGAAGGUGUUACGGGUAUCAAGGAAAAAAACAUGGGUUGAAGCUUACAGAAAUUAAUAAAUUGUGAAACAGCUACAAAUAAUAAACAAAUAUAGAUUUUUUUUAAAAAGAUUUUUUUACAAAUAUAUCCUAAAAGUAUAUAAAAUGCCAAAAAGUGAUGCUAAAAGAUAAAGAUAAAUGACAGAAGCUUAAAACAGCAGAUAAAAUACUUAAGAUAUAAAGUUAAAAUAAUGGAUAAACUCUUGAAAUACAUAAAACAACCACCCCAGUAAAACCUGCCUAAUAUUGCAGAGGUUCUGUGCUGCAUUGGCAGCAGAUCUUUUGGUUCCUGUGGCUUUGAUGGCUGCCUCAGCGGAUCGGUUUUGUUCC